GUAGUCAUAUGCUUGUCUCAAAGAUUAAGCCAUGCAUGUCUAAGUAUAAGCAAUUAUACCGCGAAACUGCGAAUGGCUCAUUAUAUAAGUUAUCGUUUAUUUGAUAGUACCUUACUACUUGGAUAACCGUGGUAAUUCUAGAGCUAAUACAUGCUAAAAAUCCCGACUUCGGAAGGGAUGUAUUUACUAGAUUAAAAGCCAAUGCCCUCUGGGCUCUCUGGUGAUUCAUGAUAACUUCUCGAAUCGCAUGGCCUUGCGCCGGCGAUGGUUCAUUCAAAUUUCUUCCCUAUCAACUUUCGAUGUUUGGGUAUUGGCCAAACAUGGUUGCAACGGGUAACGGAGGGUUAGGGCUCGACCCCGGAGAAGGAGCCUGAGAAACGGCUACUACAUCCAAGGAAGGCAGCAGGCGCGCAAAUUACCCAAUCCCGACACGGGGAGGUAGUGACAAUAAAUACUGAUACAGGGCUCUUUUGGGUCUUGUAAUUGGAAUGAGCACAAUUUAAAUCCCUUAACGAGGAACAAUUGGAGGGCAAGUCUGGUGCCAGCAGCC
Molecule: ribosomal RNA, 550 nt
Filed under: uncultured eukaryote
Lineage: Eukaryota
Description: SSU rRNA
Rfam family: Eukaryotic small subunit ribosomal RNA
Source: RNAcentral